Long non-coding RNA from Melopsittacus undulatus (budgerigar), 2105 nucleotides. RefSeq lists it as uncharacterized. Lineage: Eukaryota; Metazoa; Chordata; Aves; Psittaciformes; Psittaculidae. The record is from RefSeq and is a predicted model, not a curated record. The transcript is spliced from 2 exons.
UAGAGCGUAGGGUUGGAGCUGCGUGUGGACCGUGUGGCAUUUGGCCCGGGUACCGGUGUUCCGAUCAGCUCCUGAGGGGAGCGGUUGCUGUGUUGUGUAAGGAGACGGCUAGUUCCCCCGGAUCGCUGCUGUCGGAGGUGGGGAGGAGGCCUUAUGCUUCAGGGAGGAGCGUUCCGGUGACUCAGUCGCUCUCCUUGCGGCGGUCAGUCAGGGGCGGACCCGCGGCCUAUGUCAUGACAAGGCGCUAAUCUUCGCUGGGACAUAAUUGUCGCUCUCUGCCCAGGCCGAACUUCAGGGAGCAGGAGGUCUUUAACACAGAGAAACAAAACCGUCUUCGGUGUGAAGUAGCAGCUGUGUAGCGGUUUUGAGGAGCUAAGUACUUCUGAUCUCUGUCUAAACUCCUAACUGAGCCCUGCUUUAGGAGGUUUAGGAUCUGUGUGUAAGAGUACUGAAAUAAGCCUCAGUGCUAAUACCUUUGCUGAUGCUACAGCACAUGCAGCUCGCUCUAGAACACACCUGCCAUUCACAGGUGGAAGCAGGCCUGUUGUCCUGCGAGUUAGUGCACAACAUAGGUACAAAACAGCUAGUGUGCUACCUCAGCUGAGAUAUGCUGCCUGCCUGGAGAUAAUACUAUGAGGUUUCACGGUGUAAACAGAGUGGCUUCCAUGGACCUGCUGUGAGCAAUGCACUACAGCCUCAGCCUGUGAACUGCAAGUUGGCAUCUGGCAUUCUGCUAAAGCUCCCAAUCUGUUCUGCAGUGGAGGCCAAGCUUCAUGGAAAAUCCUUAGUCCUCAUGCUUGUAUCUGUAUAUUGACCAUUCCAUUAAAGACAUGCUGGUAUUUUUGUAAAGCAUAAUUUAAUGUGACUACAAGAUAUAAAAAACGUGUGUAAGAUUCUAAACAUCCGUUGUUGGCACUGAAAACAUUUUGGAUAUUGAAAUUCUUUUUCAAUUUUUAUUAUAUAUUUUCCCACCUUCUGGAAAACCUGAGUAUUGUUUUAGCUGCCUUUUCCAUUAAAAUAUCCCUUUAAUUGCCUGGAAAUGUAUCCUGAAUUUGAUUCUGUUCCAAACACUUGUUCAGCAAAACUGAUGAUUACCUAUUUCUGGACCACAGUUUAUUACAAGAAAAACAUAAAUGAACCCUCUGUGGAAUUUUCUAAGAUUUUUGGAGAGGAAGUGCAAUAUCCUCUUUGUGGCACAACAUGGAUAGAUAUUUGAGUCCCAGUUUUGCUACUAACUUUCCUGUGUAACUUUGGACAAGUUGCUAAAUUUCUGCUGCCUGUUUUCUUGCUUUGUAAAAGAAGCUAAUAUUAACUUGCCACCCACAAUCUGACAAAUCUAAGAGACUGUUUGCAAAGUACUCUGAGAAGGUCAGAUGGAAAAUGUUACAGAAGUCCAAGCCUCGGCUAGCCAAAGAGGAUAUUUACAAUAGCUUCCUAUUUUAUGUAGUGAAAUAAAAAUGUUAUAGUGUAUAACCAGAUGAAACCAAGACUGAUCUAAAGUUUAAUGCAGGAGACAUUUUUUGACCUUUCAACAGAAAUUACAUAAGCACAGUUAGGUUAUAAAUAGUCUUUAGUUUUCCUUCUCUUUGUCUAACACUCAAACACAGGGUUAGUUGUUUGUUAUGAAGAGAUAGAGCAAUGCUUUAGAGUGGAAACAAUUGUUCACUGUUCUUACUCAUAGAAUCCCUAUAAUGUUUGUAACUAGCAUUUGCUGCUUUUCUUAGCACCUUUUAUCUUCAAAAUGCUACAGAAACAAACUUUCCAGGCCUGAAAAUGACAACAUAGAAAAACAAAACACUCACCAGCCCAUUCCAAGUGUGAAAGUUUCUUCUUUCCUGAUUUGAUACAAGUCUGAAGAGCAAAAAGCCAUUGCUUAACUAUGGUUCAACUGGCAUGUAGACACUUGUGCAUUAUUUCUUAUUUUUAUUAUGAUUCCUCAGCAAUAAGACAUGAAAUGUGUCAACUCUUAAAGUAUUUUUAUUAGCACUAAGGGUAAUGAUACUAAAUUCUUCAUAGAAUUAUGUAUGUGUGCAUAUUUCCAAGUAUGCUUAUUUUCAACAUUUGUCAUUUUCUUGAACAGACAAUAAAUGGUUAACUAAUAGCAA